Long non-coding RNA from Calypte anna (Anna's hummingbird), 867 nucleotides. RefSeq lists it as uncharacterized. The transcript has 4 exons. NCBI's taxonomy places the organism in Eukaryota, Metazoa, Chordata, Aves, Apodiformes, Trochilidae. The record is from RefSeq and is a predicted model, not a curated record.
GCGAGCCAGUGAAGGAGCCCGGCGAGGAGGUGCCGGAGCCGGGGGACGGGGUGCCGGAGGAGCCCAGGGCAGAGCCGGCUCCCUCCGGGGCCGGACGACUCCCAGCCCGGGACUCCUCGUACGCCUUCCGCCACUGAAUUCAUGGUGGCUUCACAGCGCCGCAGGGGAAUUUCCUACAGGUUUCCCAGUCCGCAUCCGAAGGAAAUAGCCGAUCCCGGGAAGUGCUCCGCAGAGCGGGCAGGGUGCUCCCUCCGCCGGGCGCAGCCUCCGCCGCGAUCACUCAGCCCCGCAACACCAAACAGCCACAUCCAGAGCAGGAGCAUUGCCCCCGGCAGGCAGCACACAGCUCUCCUCCACAAGAGGUGAAGCAUCCAAGGUUUGUAACUGAGUUAAAAGAAAUCCUCCAAAAAUAUCGGGAUCCAGGCUCUGGGAGGAGCCUCCGCGUCCCUUGCAGCCAAUAUCCUCCUGCCCAUUUGUGCCUGACAGUUUUACAAGGGAAUGGAAUGAAGAGCGGGACUGCGGCUCCCUGUGCGCUCCCCGGUCAGCGGCGGAGCUGCAGGGCCGGGGGCUGUGCGCAGACUGCCAGAGCCUCACCGUGGGUCUGCGCGGUGCCUGCGGUGCCUCCGCUGCCAGGAGGGUCCAUUUUAUUUUGCAGUAUUUCUUGAUUGACGUCUGAGAUUUCUCCCCUCUCCUUGAUAAGGGCGGGCAGGCGGGGGGAAACCUUGUUGCUUCCACCGCAGUUAUUGGUUAGUUGCCGCUAUUCAGGGCUUUAAUGAACAUGACUUCACAAGUGUUCCCAAUCCUCCCUAAAUAACUAGGAAAGAAAAGAAAGCUGUAUUUAUGUCAGUCACUGGCAUCUCUUUCCCG